Molecule: ribosomal RNA, 468 nt
Filed under: uncultured bacterium
Lineage: Bacteria
Description: partial 16S ribosomal RNA
Rfam family: Bacterial small subunit ribosomal RNA
Source: RNAcentral
GACGAACGCUGGCGGCGUGCUUAACACAUGCAAGUCGAACGGAAAGGCCCUGCUUUUGUGGGGUGCUCGAGUGGCGAACGGGUGAGUAACACGUGAGUAACCUGCCCUUGACUUUGGGAUAACUUCAGGAAACUGGGGCUAAUACCGUAUAGGAUCUCCUGCUGCAUGGUGGGGGUUGGAAAGUUUCGGCGGUUGGGGAUGGACUCGCGGCUUAUCAGCUUGUUGGUGGGGUAGUUGCUUACCAAGGCUUUGAAGGGUAGCCGGCCUGAGAGGGUGACCGGCCACAUUGGGACUGAGAUACGGACCAGACUCGUACGGGAGGCAGCAGUGGGGAAUAUUGCACAAUGGGCGGAAGCCUGAUGCAGCUACGCCGCGUGCGGGAUGACGGCCUUCGGGUUGUAAACCGCUUUCGCCUGUGACGAAGCGUGAGUGACGGUAAUGGGUAAAGAAGCACCGGCUAACUACGUG